UAGGGAAUAUUGCGCAAUGGAGGAAACUCUGACGCAGCGACGCCGCGUGGGUGACGAAGGCUUUCGGGUCGUAAAGCCCUGUCGGUAGGGAAGAAAAACAGGAUGGCUAACAUCCAUUCUGCUUGACGGUACCUGCAAAGGAAGCACCGGCUAACUACGUGCCAGCAGCCGCGGUAAUACGUAGGGUGCUAGCGUUGUUCGGAAUCAUUGGGCGUAAAGCGCGUGUAGGCGGCUAAUUAAGUCGAGUGUGAAAUCCCUAGGCUCAACCUAGGAAGUGCAUCCGAAACUCAUUAGCUGGAAGACGGUAGAGGAAGGUAGAAUUCCUAGUGUAGAGGUGAAAUUCGUAGAUAUUAGGAGGAACACCGGUGGCGAAGGCGGCCUUCUGGACCGUUCUUGACGCUGAGACGCGAAAGCGUGGGGAGCAAACAG
RNAcentral lists this ribosomal RNA (429 nucleotides) under uncultured bacterium. RNAcentral's name for it is "bacterial SSU rRNA". It matches the Rfam family "Bacterial small subunit ribosomal RNA", at positions 355 to 775 of the family's 1533-position model. The record is from RNAcentral.